CAGUAGCCGCGGGAAUACGGAGGGUGCAAGCGUUAAUCGGAAUUACUGGGCGUAAAGCGUGCGUAGGUGGUGGUUUAAGUCCGUUGUGAAAGCCCUGGGCUCAACCUGGGAAUUGCAGUGGAUACUGGGUCACUAGAGUGUGGUAGAGGAUAGUGGAAUUUCCGGUGUAGCGGUGAAAUGCGUAGAGAUCGGGAGGAACAUCAGUGGCGAAGGCGGCCAUCUGGGACAACACUGACGCUGAGGCACGAAAGCGUGGGGAGCAAACAGGAUUAGAUACCCCCGUAGUCCCUGUCUCUUAUAC
Molecule: ribosomal RNA, 301 nt
Filed under: uncultured bacterium
Lineage: Bacteria
Description: partial 16S ribosomal RNA
Rfam family: Bacterial small subunit ribosomal RNA
Source: RNAcentral